Molecule: unclassified non-coding RNA, 251 nt
Filed under: soil metagenome
Description: partial internal transcribed spacer 1
Source: RNAcentral
UUGAAUUUUAAUGAAGAGGUUUGGUUGUAGCUGGCCCAUUUCAUUUGGGCAUGUGCACACCUUCCUCUUUUCAUCCCACACACAACCUGUGAACCUGUGAGACAGAGAUGGGGAAUUUUUACUUGCUUGCUUUUUUGGAAUACAAAGGCAAUAGGUUAUUGGACCCCCCCCUCUGUCUACUCAAUUAAUAUAAACUCAAAUUAUUUUAAUUUUUAAAACGAAUGUAAUGGAUGUAAACACAUCUCAUACUA